GGGUGCAAUCUUAGCAACACUAAAGCACCAGAUGCCAUCAGAACUCCGUAGUUAACUGUACUUGGGCGAGAGUAAUACUAGGAUGGGUAACAUCUUGGGAAGUCCUCGUGUUGCACCCC
This 119-nucleotide ribosomal RNA is filed under the name Gossypium hirsutum (cotton). The record is from RNAcentral. Lineage: Eukaryota; Viridiplantae; Streptophyta; Magnoliopsida; Malvales; Malvaceae.